Molecule: long non-coding RNA, 555 nt
Organism: Equus quagga
Lineage: Eukaryota; Metazoa; Chordata; Mammalia; Perissodactyla; Equidae
Exons: 4
Source: RefSeq, a predicted model, not a curated record
AAGAGGACCAAGGAUGGAGCCCCAGGAAGCACUAACUUUAAAAGGGAGUGGCAGAUGAGCAGAAGCCCACAAAGAAGUCUGAGAAAGAAUGGCCAGAGAGAUAAAAGAAAUAGAUGAGAGCAAUGCAUCUGAAACCAAGCAGGUGGAAAUACAAAGUUUACGGAAUGUGGCCACGGUCAUACUCUCAGCAGUUAAGUAGUAGGCCAAGAUUUGGACCCAGCACAGGCAUCUUCUUUCCUGCAAACCUACCCUCAGAGCCUUAGUCGGUGUACAUUAUGGGCAUUAACUCAUUUAAGCCUCAAAACAGCCCUUUAAGGCAAUGUGAAUUAUAUAACGGGCUGUUUUCUCCUUUCCCUUUGACUGCCAAGAAGCUCCGAGUAAAUUUGUGGCUCAGCAUUAGUAACUGGGAGGACCCUUGGCCUGCAUAUCUAUAUUGUGUCAGUUUGAAACUUCUCAAAAAGUUAGAAGGAAAAAUAACUUGGAUUCUUUAUUUUCUAAAUUGUUGAUAGUGUACAUUUAUUUUAUACUUAGAAAAAGUAAACUUUAUUUUUAAAA